GUAGAAGAGCAGAGUGAAACUAUCCCUCUGGUGCUUAGUCCUGUCUUCAUUCAUGACUCCCUGACUCACUCUUAUGUCACAGUUUUCCCCAGUCCCCUCCCAGGCUGAGGGAGCAGCACGUGGAGAUGUACUGAGGACCAAGAUGUUUCUACUUUGUUUGCAAAAAGAAAUUCAGGAAGGCAUUCUGGAAAACAGAGAAUUAUAUGUCUGAUCACCAAGAGAUGAGGAUGAAAAAGAAAACAGGGUUUACCAGAGAACCUGUGGUCCUGAAACCUUCACUAAAUGCUUUAUCUACAGAGUCCCAUAAGAUAUGCCCUUGAGAAAAAGAAGGGAAUUUAAAGUUUCUGGCAUACAGUAAGCAUACAUGAGCUCAUGGAUUCAUGAAUCAGAUUCUGCUAAAGUCUAAGAGGAUACUGCCCGGAUGUUGGAGUCAAGUUCAUGAACUUAGUCCCAGCAGAGUUUCCUUUGUGUGAAUGAACCUCCUUCUUUGUGUGACAUCUGGAGAAAUUUACUAAUUGAGGACUUUGAAUAACUGGGCUGCAACAGAGGAAAGGAUGUUAUGUGUUGACCUAUAUUGUCUCAAGUGUUUAAUUUACAAUUAUAUUUGAGUGGGAAUAUCAUUUAUUAAAAAUACUUAUCUAUUAAAAUGCUUAUAUUUUUAAUUAAUUUCCAAUUAAUAAUAAAGAUAAUAUCUAUGCAAAGUAUUUUAAGAAAUUAUAUUUACUGCUAAAUUUUGAAAUGAUAAAACAUCGUGAAUUUGA
Sciurus carolinensis (gray squirrel) is the source of this 761-nucleotide long non-coding RNA. RefSeq lists it as uncharacterized. The transcript is spliced from 5 exons. The record is from RefSeq and is a predicted model, not a curated record. NCBI's taxonomy places the organism in Eukaryota, Metazoa, Chordata, Mammalia, Rodentia, Sciuridae.